GGAUUAGAUACCCUGGUAGUCCUUGCUGUAAACGAUGUAUACUUGGUGUAACUGGAAUCAACCCUAGUUGUGCCGGAGCUAACGCGUUAAGUAUACCGCCUGGGGAGUACAGUCGCAAGGCUGAAACUCAAAAGAAUUGACGGGGACCCGCACAAGCAGUGGAGCAUGUGGUUUAAUUCGAUGCAACGCGAAGAACCUUACCCAGGCUUGACAUGCAGUAGACCGGCUCAGAGAUGAGUCUUUCCUUCGGGACUGCUGCACAGGUGCUGCAUGGCUGUCGUCAGCUCGUGCUG
Molecule: ribosomal RNA, 293 nt
Filed under: uncultured bacterium
Lineage: Bacteria
Description: partial 16S ribosomal RNA
Rfam family: Bacterial small subunit ribosomal RNA
Source: RNAcentral